UGCGCUGAGCCCACUUCCCACUUGAGACGAAAGCUGGACGAAGGAAGAGAAAUAGACCAGAGAAAAUGUCGAGAUACACAAGGCCACCAAAUACUUCUCUGUACAUCAGAAAUGUCCCUGAUACUACGAGACCAGAUGAGUUGCGAAGUUUGUUUGGCAAAUAUGGACCCAUAAGUGAUGUUUAUGUCCCUGUGGAUUAUCACACAAGAAGAGCCCGAGGAUUUGCGUACAUACAAUUUGAGGAUGCCAGAGAUGCUGAUGAUGCAUUGUACCAUCUGGACAGAACACGCUUCUAUGGCAGAGAGCUGGAGAUCGAGUUUGCUAGAGGUGAUAGAAAAACUCCGAAUCAGAUGAGGAACAAGGAACGAGUGCGCCGCUCCCCGUAUGGUCGAAGCUAUUACGAUGACUAUGACCGAGGCAGUCGCUACAGGUCCAGAAGUCGUAGUCCAAGGAGAUCGAGAAGCAGGAGUCCAAGGAGAAGGAGGUCUCGCAGCAGAUCCUAUGAACGGAGAGGUUUUUCAUCCCGAUAUUCAAGCAGACGGUCACGAUCCUUCAGUCGCUCCAUGUCACGAGGAAAGUCUCCUGGCGGCAUCAGUAGGAGUCCAUCAAGUGACAACUGAGCAUCUUAUUUCAUUGUUGAUCGUUUCUUCAAGAUGAAUAAGCUUCAUGUACAUUUUUAGCAUCUAGUAUCAUUAUCUGUAAAUAUGUCCAGUCUGUUUUCUGUGUACACACUUGAAAUGCUUCUGUCAUAUUUUCUACACAAGUCUCUAGUGGUGUUACAUCCGAGGAACUGAAGUUGAUAUGCUCCUUGUAAAUAUAUCUUAGGACUGAUGUUGUUGAAACAACUAGUUUCACUUAUGUUCUCCUAUUGUUGAGUUUUCGAGCUGCUUUAGAC
This 895-nucleotide unclassified non-coding RNA is filed under the name Haliotis rubra (blacklip abalone). Its description in RNAcentral is "serine/arginine-rich splicing factor 10-like, transcript variant X2". Lineage: Eukaryota; Metazoa; Mollusca; Gastropoda; Lepetellida; Haliotidae. The record is from RNAcentral.